UACAGAGGGUGCGAGCGUUAAUCGGAGUUAUUGGGCGUAAAGGGCGCGUAGGCGGUUAUGUAAGUGAGUUGUGAAAUCCCUGGGCUUAACCUAGGAACUGCAACUUAUACUGUAUAGCUAGAGUAUUGUAGAGGGUAGUGGAAUUUCCGGUGUAGCGGUGAAACGCGUAGAGAUCGGAAGGAACACCAGUGGCGAAGGCGGCUACCUGGACAAAUACUGACGCUGAGGCGCGAAAGCGUGGGG
Molecule: ribosomal RNA, 243 nt
Filed under: uncultured prokaryote
Description: partial 16S ribosomal RNA
Rfam family: Bacterial small subunit ribosomal RNA
Source: RNAcentral